Molecule: long non-coding RNA, 1870 nt
Filed under: Fukomys damarensis (Damara mole-rat)
Lineage: Eukaryota; Metazoa; Chordata; Mammalia; Rodentia; Bathyergidae
Description: lncRNA (ENSFDAG00000025986.1)
Source: RNAcentral
AUGGGGCCAGAGGGGGCUGCUCUGCCCACCUGCCAUGUUCCUGCCCCAAGUGGACCACAAACACCUGGCCUGGCCUCAGUUCAGGACACCUCACAAGGCCCCCGGCACCAGCAGCUGAGUUGCGCACCCUGCUUCUCUCCCAACGGUGGACAACACCCAGCUCAGAGUCGGCCCACCGAGACUCUGCCUUCCGGGCACAGGGAUCUGAACCUAUCCGUGGGGCACUUGGACGCACGUGUCUACACAUGGCCUUCCCAGAUGUCGUCUACGCAGAGCACAGAAACCCUCUUCUGCAGAGCCCAAGCUGCCUUCCGCAGGGCUCCCGCCCCCACGCCGCCCACCCCCGCUAAUGGGCUUGUUUCCGCGCACACUGGAGACGAAAAACAUGCGAUCCCCAAUGUGUCUCUUUCACGACCACACAUUUCUUUUUACCAUGCAUCUUGGCUGAGGGCCGCUUACAAAUUCCCAGCAACGGUUCCCAAGUCGAUUUUCAAAGAGUCCUGCACCUCUGACCUAAUAAAAACCGGAGAGAACUGGACGAGGGCUUGCGGCACGUCUCUAAGAGCAUUUUUUUUUUUUUUUUUUUUUUUUUUUUUUUUUUUUUUUUUUUUUUAUUCCAUGAAUCCUGCCCUCAUGCUGACAGCAGAUCUUUUUUUUUUUUUUUUUUUUUUUUUUUUUUUGGUAAAAGUUCUGUUCUUUUGCCUUCGGUUUCCCUUGCUGCUUGCAGCUCUGGGCUUGCAGACCUGAGAUUCGUUCCAGGACCUCACUAGCUUGCACACAGCAAGCGGUCCUUCUGACACGGCCGGGCUGUGACCGCAGCCAUGCAGGGUCCCUCUCACCUCCAGAGGAGCCCCCUCUCCUUCCCACCCAUGCCCCAAACCCCAUGGCUCAGUGCCCCACCCCACACCCCAACUCCCCCGCAGGCCCAGCUUCGCCUGCCUUCGUUCCCACUCUUUGGCUCCCUCUCCCCAACCAGAGCCCACUGGGCCCCCACAGAAGGGUGCAGUCUCUCACAGACUUGAUGGCUGAUAGCACCCAGUAUGCCUGUUCUGCUCUGGAAACAGGGUCUGCAGCGGCCUCGGCAGACAGACAGAAGCCAAGGUGACAGGUGGGCCGGCUCCUCGUCCCUGUCACAAUGGGGCAUGCACAGGCUACAAGGAGGGAGCCAGCCGUGUUCCCCACUUCCUCUGCUCUGUUUGGCCUUGAUAAGCAUGGGAGGGGACAGGACAGUGAGCUCCAUGUUUCUUAUUGAAGGCUUGGAGCAGCAGGCUGUGACACUGUCCCGGCUGCUGUGUGUGCAGCCUCACAUGAGGAGAAGGGUACUCCUUCAGCUUCAGCAGAAGUUGAGGACCAAGCCCCACCCUGACUGUGACAGACUUCACUGUGCACCCCCCGGGGGGGGCUCUGGCUGAAACUGCGCUGUCUCUCACCCCAGGCCGGGGUUCAGCCAGCUAGAAGGGGGCAAGAUGGCUCCAGGAGACAGGCCGGAAAUAAAUCCCAGAUCUUUUUUUCUUUUUUGGCUGGGGAUUGAGCCCACAACCUCCACACAGAGCCACGUCCACAGUCAGUUUGGGGGUUUUCUUAGGCAGAAUCUUACUAAGUUGCCUAGGCUAGCCUCAGAUUUGGGACCCUCCUGCUUCAGCCUGGCAGAGUGCUAGGAUUAUGGGUGUACACCCCAUAUCCUGCUAAUACCAGACUUUAUAAGAACAACAAGUCUAAGGCAUAGGGGAAACAGGCAAAGUCUUCUUGAAUGAGACUCUGAUAGCACAGGAAAUAAGAGCAAGAAUCAAUAAGGAGGACUACGUCAAACUAAAAGUGUCCUGCAGGGAAAGGGAAGUAAAAGGAAUUAAGAUGUGUUGUGUACCAACUC